GAGAAACCAUAAAAAGAUCAUCUCCCAUCUACUUCAAUGUUUUGAAAUUAUGGAUGCUCCCAUGUCUAUUAAAAUUGACAAAGGGCCAGCCUAUACCAGCAAGACAUUUCAAGUGAUUUGCAAUGGUUAGUAUAUACAGCACUUAACUGGGAUUCCCUAUAACCCUUAGACUCAAGGCAUCAUAGAAAGAACACACAAGGAAUUAAAGGUCAUGCUGCAAAACAGAGGGGGAAACUAUACCAAGUCCCCUCAUGAUGCCUUUAAAGAAUCUUAUUUGCUUUAAAUUUUCUUUCACUUUCAAAAAUUUCUAUAUAAGUAGCAGCCCCUAAGCAUUGGCCCCCCUCUUGGGGCCCUCCCAUCUACCUAUGGUUUCAUGAAAGAAUCCCAUAAAAAAUGCAUGCGAUGGUCUGGGGCCCCUCUUAACCAUGGGUGGAGGGCAUAUGUUAACAAGAGCCUUAUCCCAUCUGGGUGCCUGCCCGAAAGUUAAGCCCUGGACCCCAGAACCACCAACCAAGAAGAUGAAGGAACCAACUCUGGAGGAGAAACCUCACAAGAAAAGACCUCAACAAUGCAAACGGCCCUCACAUAAAGUAACCUGGGGUGAUAUUGAAGGUCUUGUUGACUGAGCCAGUGGAUUGGCCCCUCUGCCUGGUGGCAACCCCAUCCCUGGGCCUAUGACAAUGGUCCUAGUGUGUUCAAUGCUCACCUCUAACAGUGAAACCUCCCAUGAGUUAAAUUGAGCUUUGGUCACUAGGCCACCACCUUUAGCAGUGGCUAAUUGGGAAGGGGCUUUAUCCAAGCUCUUCUCUAAUAAUUCCAACCUUAUUGAUCCUGAGUUAUCCAUCCAGGAGAUAACUGUACCCUGGAACACUAGCCUUUCCAUACCUACUCUGCCCAUUUGUCUCUCCAUAGUAUAUAAUAAAACCUAUAAUCCAGGCAGUUCUCUGUUUUGCUCUUGCCAAUAAAACUAUUGUAGAUAACUAUAAUAAGUCAUAUAUUGGGCUAUCUCUCAAUGACCUUAAAGUUAUACUCAAUGUUACCUAUACCCAUAGACUCCCCCAUGGCAAAUGCAAGAAACCCUUGCUGCCAACAUGCCCAACAAUUCUUUUAGAAAGCCCCCCCCUCAGAUAAUGAUAGCAUCCCAUGGAAUCAAUGUGUCACUGCCACACCUUAUCUCCUAGAUAAGAGGAAUUUCUCCAAGGAAGAACAAUAUCUAUGUGCCUGGGCAGGCGCAGCUCCCUGGAAUGUAACUAAUGUGCCCCCAAACAAUAUGGGCUACUGUA
RNAcentral lists this long non-coding RNA (1283 nucleotides) under Marmota monax (woodchuck). Lineage: Eukaryota; Metazoa; Chordata; Mammalia; Rodentia; Sciuridae. The record is from RNAcentral.